Non-coding RNA from Meleagris gallopavo (turkey), 391 nucleotides. The record is from RefSeq and is a predicted model, not a curated record. Lineage: Eukaryota; Metazoa; Chordata; Aves; Galliformes; Phasianidae.
UCUUUCUUAAAGGACGUGGGGAGGGUGGGAGGCUCUGAAAAUCUGUUUUCUGUCAGGUCCAAGUAGAUGAAAUGUUCCCUCUGAUGGGUCCUAAAAGUGCAUUAGGAGAGCAUCUGAUCUGCAACUCCUGCGAGGUGGCUCUGAAAUGGGGCACAGCCCUUCGUCUCCCUUCCCUCAUCUCAGCCCUGGGACCUUUUUUCUCCAUAAUCCAAGGCUUAGAUCCUUGAUUUGGGAGGCAGAAGGAUCUUCUCAUCACACGGAAAUGCAGUCCUCUCCAUCCCCCCCGCCGCUGCACAUCCUUUUCCAAAAUACUGCAUAAUGUCAGACUAAAUCCUUAUCAGAAAUUUUAAUGAGCAAAAUAAAACCUGAAAUCUGUGUGAUUAAAAUCAAA